Molecule: unclassified non-coding RNA, 327 nt
Filed under: soil metagenome
Description: partial contains 5.8S ribosomal RNA, internal transcribed spacer 2, and large subunit ribosomal RNA
Rfam family: 5.8S ribosomal RNA (bases 1-119)
Source: RNAcentral
GAUGAAAACGUAGCGAAAUGCGAUAAGUAAUGUGAAUUGCAGAAUUCAGUGAAUCAUCGAAUCUUUGAACGCACAUUGCGCCCCUUGGUAUUCCGAGGGGCAUGCCUGUUCGAGCGUCAUUAUAACCCCUCAAGCUCAGCUUGGUGUUGGGGCCUGCCGCACGGGCAGCCCUUAAAAUCAGUGGCGGUGCCAUCUGGCUCUAAGCGUAGUAAUUCUUCUCGCUAUAGAGUUCCGGUGGAUGCUUGCCAUUAACCCCCAAUUUUCUAUGGUUGACCUCGGAUCAGGUAGGGAUACCCGCUGAACUUAAGCAUAUCAAUAAGCGGAGGA